This is a ribosomal RNA of Sinocyclocheilus grahami, 103 nucleotides long. NCBI's taxonomy places the organism in Eukaryota, Metazoa, Chordata, Actinopteri, Cypriniformes, Cyprinidae. The record is from Ensembl.
ACAAACAGGGCGGUUACCUGGUUACCCACUGAAGCUAAGCAGGGCUGAGCCUGGUCAGUACCUGGAUGGGAGACCUCCUGGGAAAACUAGGUUGCUGCUGGAA